UAGAGAGGAAUGACAGGCUGGGCCUAGG
Molecule: non-coding RNA, 28 nt
Filed under: Homo sapiens (human)
Lineage: Eukaryota; Metazoa; Chordata; Mammalia; Primates; Hominidae
Source: RNAcentral